UUGAAGGUCGUUGUCCUGGCAAUGCAGGU
Molecule: non-coding RNA, 29 nt
Filed under: Mus musculus (house mouse)
Lineage: Eukaryota; Metazoa; Chordata; Mammalia; Rodentia; Muridae
Source: RNAcentral